Molecule: ribosomal RNA, 777 nt
Filed under: uncultured Neocallimastigales
Lineage: Eukaryota; Fungi; Neocallimastigomycota; Neocallimastigomycetes; Neocallimastigales
Description: partial large subunit ribosomal RNA
Rfam family: Eukaryotic large subunit ribosomal RNA
Source: RNAcentral
UAUCUCUGUAGAGUCUGCAUAUCAAUAAGCGGAGGAAAAGAAACUAACUAGGAUUCCCCUAGUAACGGCGAGUGAAGCGGGGAAGAGCUCAAAUUUGAAAUCUUAAAGGUUUUCCCUUGACGAAUUGUAGUUUAAAGAAGUGUUUUCUGUUGAGUGUUUUGGUAAAAGUUCUUUGGAAUAGGACAUCAUAGAGGGUGAGAAUCCCGUAUUUGACCAUUACUUUCAGCUUUGUGAUACACUUUCAAAGAGUCGGAUUGUUUGGGAAUGCAGUCCAAAAUGGGUGGUAAAUUUCAUCUAAAGCUAAAUAUUGGCGAGGAGACCGAUAGCGAACAAGUACCGUGAGGGAAAGAUGAAAAGAACUUUGAAAAGAGAGUUAAACAGUACGUGAAAUUGUCAAAAGGGAAGCGUUUGACACCAGUGUUGUUUUUCUGAAAAUCAAUUAAAGAACUGUUUAUGCUAAGCUGUUUAGACUUUAUCAGCUAUCUGUUUAGUUUUGAGCUUUUCUUUAAUGCACUUUUCAGUUAACAAGUCAACAUCAAUUUCUUUUGCUGUAAAAAAGCUUGAGGAAGGUGGCUUGAGAUUCGUCUUAAGUGUUUAUAGCCUCUUGCCUAUGCAGUCGGAGAGAUUGAGGUCUGCAGCGUAGAUCCUUCGGGGCUAAAUGCAUUUGUGCUAAGUUAUAGCAUUUUAUAGACAACUUGUUGACUAUGAUUUGUCUUGUAGCUUACUCGCUUAUGUUAUUUUACCUACGCUUAGGAUGUUGACGAUCAGCUGAGCGCG